Molecule: ribosomal RNA, 461 nt
Filed under: uncultured bacterium
Lineage: Bacteria
Description: bacterial SSU rRNA
Rfam family: Bacterial small subunit ribosomal RNA
Source: RNAcentral
GAUAAACGCUGGCGGCAUGCCUAACACAUGCAAGUCGAACGGGAUCCAGCCUUCGGGUUGGUGAGAGUGGCGGACGGGUGAGUAACGCGUGGGAACCUGCCCAUUGGUCUGGGAUAACUGCGGGAAACUGCAGCUAAUACCGGAUGUACCCGAGAGGGGAAAGAUUUAUCGCCGAUGGAGGGGCCCGCGUCAGAUUAGGUAGUUGGUGAGGUAACGGCUCACCAAGCCUACGAUCUGUAGCUGGUCUGAGAGGAUGAUCAGCCACACUGGGACUGAGAUACGGCCCAGACUCCUACGGGAGGCAGCAGUGGGGAAUAUUGGACAAUGGGGGGCAACCCUGAUCCAGCAAUGCCGCGUGAGUGAUGAAGGCCUUAGGGUUGUAAAGCUCUUUUACCAGGGACGAUGAUGACGGUACCUGGAGAAUAAGCCCCGGCUAACUUCGUGCCAGCAGCCGCGGUAAU